GACAGAGGGUGCAAACGUUGCUCGGAAUCACUGGGCGUAAAGGGCGUGUAGGCGGGUAAGUAAGUCGGGCGUGAAAUCCCACGGCUCAACCGUGGAAGUGCACUCGAAACUGCAUAGCUAGAGUCCUGGAGAGGAAGGUGGAAUGCUUGGUGUAGAGGUGAAAUUCGUAGAUAUCAAGCGGAACACCGGUGGCGAAGGCGGCCUUCUGGACAGUGACUGACGCUGAGACGCGAAAGCGUGGGGAGCAAACAGG
This 253-nucleotide ribosomal RNA is filed under the name uncultured bacterium. RNAcentral describes it as "partial 16S ribosomal RNA". It matches the Rfam family "Bacterial small subunit ribosomal RNA", at positions 524 to 776 of the family's 1533-position model. The record is from RNAcentral.